AGCAGCCGCGGUAAUUCCAGCUCCAAUAGCGUAUAUUAAAGUUGUUGCAGUUAAAAAGCUCGUAGUUGAAUUUUAGGCCUGGCCGGGCGGUCCGUCUUUGGCGAGUACUGUCUGUUGUCGGGUCUUCCUUCUGGUGAACCAAUAUUUCCUUUAUUGGGUGUGCUGGGGAGCCAGGACCAUUUACCUUGAAAAAAUUAGAGUGUUUAAAGCAGGCUUUUGCUUGAAUAGAUUAGCAUGGAAUAAUAGAAUAGGACGUUGUGGUUCUAUUUCGUUGGUUUCUAGGACCACCGUAAUGAUUAAUAGGGAUAGUUGGGGGCAUUAGUAUUCAAUUGUCAGAGGUGAAAUUCUUGGAUUAUUGAAGACUAACUAUUGCGAAAGCAUUU
RNAcentral lists this ribosomal RNA (383 nucleotides) under uncultured Archaeospora. Its description in RNAcentral is "SSU rRNA". It matches the Rfam family "Eukaryotic small subunit ribosomal RNA", at positions 569 to 956 of the family's 1831-position model. Lineage: Eukaryota; Fungi; Glomeromycota; Glomeromycetes; Archaeosporales; Archaeosporaceae. The record is from RNAcentral.